AUAAUUAAGAGUUUGAUCCUGGCUCAGGAUGAACGCUGGCGGCGUGCCUAACACAUGCAAGUCGAGCGAGAAUUAGGGGAGUGGAGACUUCGGUCAAAGCAAGCUUAAGGAAAGCGGCGGACGGGUGAGUAACGCGUGGGUAACCUGCCUCAUACAAAGGGAUAGCCACUGGAAACGGUGAUUAAUACCCUAUAAGACUACGAGAUCGCAUGAUCUAGUAGCCAAAGAUUUAUCGGUAUGAGAUGGACCCGCGUCUGAUUAGCUAGUUGGUGAGGUAAUGGCUCACCAAGGCGACGAUCAGUAGCCGACCUGAGAGGGUGAUCGGCCACACUGGAACUGAGACACGGUCCAGACUCCUACGGGAGGCAGCAGUGGGGAAUAUUGCACAAUGGGCGCAAGCCUGAUGCAGCAACGCCGUGUGAGUGAUGAAGGUCUUCGGAUUGUAAAACUCUGUCCUAGGGGAAGAAAAAAAUGACGGUACCCUAGGAGGAAGCCCCGGCUAACUACGUGCCAGCAGCCGCGGAAAUACGUCUGUCUCUACUAUACAUAUGACGCUGCCG
Ribosomal RNA from Fusibacter sp. 3D3, 560 nucleotides. It matches the Rfam family "Bacterial small subunit ribosomal RNA", at positions 1 to 560 of the family's 1533-position model. The record is from Rfam. NCBI's taxonomy places the organism in Bacteria, Bacillati, Bacillota, Clostridia, Eubacteriales, Fusibacteraceae.